Non-coding RNA from Pelobates cultripes (western spadefoot toad), 495 nucleotides. NCBI's taxonomy places the organism in Eukaryota, Metazoa, Chordata, Amphibia, Anura, Pelobatidae. The record is from the annotation of a GenBank genome assembly.
UUUUUAGGUCUGGAAAAAAGGCAUCAAUCGAUGAAGCCUAGGCAGAAGAGUCCAGGUAUGAGGCUUAUCAGGCUGGAUUGGCUUCUGGUUCGCCAAUAUAAAUCAGAUUGUAGGUUUUCCUUGAGGAGAAAUGGUGUCUGGUUAGGUCUGCAAGCAGGCUCCACCACCUAAACUGUACUUUUUUAAUAUAUGAAUGAAUAUAUUUUUACAUGUUUGGUGUUCUUUGGGUCUGCCAGGUUUGCAGUACUAUGUUGUUGAGGAACUUGCUUCAUACAAUGUACACUAGGUGGACAAAAUAAUGGAAACGCCAUCUGAAAAGAGAGUUUAGCUGCUUUCAAGAACAUUUCCAUUAUGGAAUUUCACUGUCUGUCUGGGUGGUACAUGUAUGUUCAUUCAGGGUUGAUUUAUAGAAGUCGUAACAGAAUCAAAGGCUGACAUCCAAUCUUUAACAGACCAAAUUGCAGAAAAGGCUAUUUUCCAUAAAUCACUAGUCAG